UCAGUCGCGUUGUCCGGAACUCAGCCUUGCUUUUGCUUGGUGCACUUUCCGGAUGACGGGUCAGCAUCGAUUUUGACCGUCGGAAAAGGGCUGGAGUAAUGUGGCACCUCCGGGUGUGUUAUAGACUCUGGUCGCAUACGGCGGUUGGGAUCGAGGAACGCAGCGCGCCGCGAGGCAGGGGUUCGCCCACUUUCGCGCUUAGGAUGCUGGCAUAAUGGCUUUAAACGACCCGUCUUGAAACACGGACCAAGGAGUCUAACAUACUUGCGAGUGUUUGGGUGGAAAACCCGAGCGCGUAAUGAAAGUGAAAGUUGAGAUCCCUGUCGUGGGGAGCAUCGACGCCCGGACCAGACGUUCUCUGACGGAUCCGCGGUAGAGCAUGUAUGUUGGGACCCGAAAGAUGGUGAACUAUGCCUGAAUAGGGUGAAGCCAGAGGAAACUCUGGUGGAGGCUCGUAGCGAUUCUG
Molecule: ribosomal RNA, 466 nt
Filed under: Ganoderma curtisii
Lineage: Eukaryota; Fungi; Basidiomycota; Agaricomycetes; Polyporales; Polyporaceae
Description: partial large subunit ribosomal RNA
Rfam family: Eukaryotic large subunit ribosomal RNA
Source: RNAcentral